Molecule: transfer RNA, 77 nt
Filed under: Acinetobacter baumannii
Lineage: Bacteria; Pseudomonadati; Pseudomonadota; Gammaproteobacteria; Moraxellales; Moraxellaceae
Description: tRNA-Gly
Rfam family: tRNA
About the family: Transfer RNA (tRNA) molecules are approximately 80 nucleotides in length. Their secondary structure includes four short double-helical elements and three loops (D, anti-codon, and T loops). Further hydrogen bonds mediate the characteristic L-shaped molecular structure. tRNAs have two regions of fundamental functional importance: the anti-codon, which is responsible for specific mRNA codon recognition, and the 3' end, to which the tRNAs corresponding amino acid is attached (by aminoacyl-tRNA synthetases). tRNAs cope with the degeneracy of the genetic code in two manners: having more than one tRNA (with a specific anti-codon) for a particular amino acid; and 'wobble' base-pairing, i.e. permitting non-standard base-pairing at the 3rd anti-codon position.
Source: RNAcentral
UCGGGAAUAUGCUCAGUUGGUAGAGCAUAACCUUGCCAAGGUUGGGGUCGCGAGUUCGAGUCUCGUUUCCCGCUCCA